GACUUGUUCAGCCACAGACUGACAUCAUGGAGCACUAGAAAUCCGAGGGGCUUCGGUCAAGGAUGAAGUGGUGGAGAUAAAGGCACCACAUGAUUCAUUAAUGUCUUAUGUGGCCUAGACAGGAAGGAGGGACAAAGAUACAGAACUACCAUGUGCUUUCCUAUGCUGCAUCACAACACUGAAACAAGAUAUUCUGGUUUGUCUUUCUGUGCUGAAGGACAUUCAAAAUAAAGACAGCCUUCCCUCAAAAAUAACAGGCUGUAUAAUCCCAGAGGCACACCUUUCAGGCCAUUCCAGCACCCGCUUUAUCUCCAGUGAUCUCUGA
Molecule: long non-coding RNA, 325 nt
Filed under: Chrysolophus pictus (golden pheasant)
Lineage: Eukaryota; Metazoa; Chordata; Aves; Galliformes; Phasianidae
Description: lncRNA (ENSCPIG00010012611.1)
Source: RNAcentral